This 979-nucleotide ribosomal RNA is filed under the name Mycobacterium tuberculosis variant bovis. RNAcentral describes it as "bacterial SSU rRNA". It matches the Rfam family "Bacterial small subunit ribosomal RNA", at positions 8 to 986 of the family's 1533-position model. The record is from RNAcentral. Lineage: Bacteria; Bacillati; Actinomycetota; Actinomycetes; Mycobacteriales; Mycobacteriaceae.
AGAGUUUGAUCCUGGCUCAGGACGAACGCUGGCGGCGUGCUUAACACAUGCAAGUCGAACGGAAAGGUCUCUUCGGAGAUACUCGAGUGGCGAACGGGUGAGUAACACGUGGGUGAUCUGCCCUGCACUUCGGGAUAAGCCUGGGAAACUGGGUCUAAUACCGGAUAGGACCACGGGAUGCAUGUCUUGUGGUGGAAAGCGCUUUAGCGGUGUGGGAUGAGCCCGCGGCCUAUCAGCUUGUUGGUGGGGUGACGGCCUACCAAGGCGACGACGGGUAGCCGGCCUGAGAGGGUGUCCGGCCACACUGGGACUGAGAUACGGCCCAGACUCCUACGGGAGGCAGCAGUGGGGAAUAUUGCACAAUGGGCGCAAGCCUGAUGCAGCGACGCCGCGUGGGGGAUGACGGCCUUCGGGUUGUAAACCUCUUUCACCAUCGACGAAGGUCCGGGUUCUCUCGGAUUGACGGUAGGUGGAGAAGAAGCACCGGCCAACUACGUGCCAGCAGCCGCGGUAAUACGUAGGGUGCGAGCGUUGUCCGGAAUUACUGGGCGUAAAGAGCUCGUAGGUGGUUUGUCGCGUUGUUCGUGAAAUCUCACGGCUUAACUGUGAGCGUGCGGGCGAUACGGGCAGACUAGAGUACUGCAGGGGAGACUGGAAUUCCUGGUGUAGCGGUGGAAUGCGCAGAUAUCAGGAGGAACACCGGUGGCGAAGGCGGGUCUCUGGGCAGUAACUGACGCUGAGGAGCGAAAGCGUGGGGAGCGAACAGGAUUAGAUACCCUGGUAGUCCACGCCGUAAACGGUGGGUACUAGGUGUGGGUUUCCUUCCUUGGGAUCCGUGCCGUAGCUAACGCAUUAAGUACCCCGCCUGGGGAGUACGGCCGCAAGGCUAAAACUCAAAGGAAUUGACGGGGGCCCGCACAAGCGGCGGAGCAUGUGGAUUAAUUCGAUGCAACGCGAAGAACCUUACCUGGGUUUGACA